This 56-nucleotide transfer RNA is filed under the name Oesophagostomoides giltneri. RNAcentral describes it as "tRNA-His". Lineage: Eukaryota; Metazoa; Nematoda; Chromadorea; Rhabditida; Strongylidae. The record is from RNAcentral.
AGCUUUUUAGUUUAUUUAAAAUUUUUGUUUGUGGUACAAAGGAAUUUUUAAGGCUA